RNAcentral lists this ribosomal RNA (450 nucleotides) under uncultured Glomeromycotina. RNAcentral's name for it is "SSU rRNA". It matches the Rfam family "Eukaryotic small subunit ribosomal RNA", at positions 569 to 1025 of the family's 1831-position model. Lineage: Eukaryota; Fungi; Glomeromycota. The record is from RNAcentral.
AGCAGCCGCGGUAAUUCCAGCUCCAAUAGCGUAUAUUAAAGUUGUUGCAGUUAAAAAGCUCGUAGUUGAAUUUCGGGAUCAAGGAAUCGGUCAUGCCUCGGUAUGUACUGGUUUUAUUGGUUCUCACCUUCUAAAGAACCAUGAUGUCAUUAAUUUGAUGUUAUGGGGAAUUAGGACUGUUACCUUGAAAAAAUUAGAGUGUUUAAAGCAGGCUUACGCUUGAAUACAUUAGCGUGGAAUAAUGAAAUAGGACAUCAGAUUCUAUUUUGUUGGUUUCUAGGAUCGAUGUAAUGAUUAAUAGGGAUAGUUGGGGGCAUUAGUAUUCAAUUGUCAGAGGUGAAAUUCUUGGAUUUAUUGAAGACUAACUACUGCGAAAGCAUUUGCCAGGAUGUUUUCAUUAAUCAAGAACGAAAGUUAGGGGAUCGAAGACGAUCAGAUACCGUCGUAGUC